RNAcentral lists this ribosomal RNA (212 nucleotides) under uncultured bacterium. RNAcentral describes it as "partial 16S ribosomal RNA". It matches the Rfam family "Archaeal small subunit ribosomal RNA", at positions 474 to 687 of the family's 1478-position model. The record is from RNAcentral.
UACCAGCACCCGAGUGGUCGGGACGAUUAUUGGGCCUAAAGCAUCCGUAGCCGGCCUUACAAGUCCUCCGUUAAAUCCAGCUGCUUAACAGAUGGGCUGCGGAGGAUACUAUAAGACUAGGAGGCAGGAGAGGCAAGCGGUACUCAGUGGGUAGGGGUAAAAUCCGUUGAUCCAUUGAAGACCACCAGUGGCGAAGGCGGCUUGCCAGAAUG